GACGAACGCUGACGGUGUGCUUUAGACAUGCAAGUCGAACGAGAAAGUCCUCGGGUGAGUACAGUGGCGAACGGGUGGAGUAACACGUGGGCGAAUCUGCCCCUCGAAGGGGGAGUAACCGGGGGAAACCCCGGCUAAUACCCCGUACGCUUGCGGAGCCGCAUGGCUCUGCAAGGAGAGGUAGCUUCGGCCAUCCGGCGAGGGGAUGAGCCCGCGGUACAUUAGCUAGUUGGUGAGUAACGGCNCACCAAGGCGACGAUGUAUAGCUGGUCUGAGAGGAUGAU
RNAcentral lists this ribosomal RNA (284 nucleotides) under uncultured bacterium. RNAcentral's name for it is "partial 16S ribosomal RNA". It matches the Rfam family "Bacterial small subunit ribosomal RNA", at positions 28 to 304 of the family's 1533-position model. The record is from RNAcentral.